This 446-nucleotide ribosomal RNA is filed under the name uncultured bacterium. Its description in RNAcentral is "SSU rRNA". It matches the Rfam family "Bacterial small subunit ribosomal RNA", at positions 26 to 518 of the family's 1533-position model. The record is from RNAcentral.
AGAACGAACGCUGGCGGCAUGCCUAACACAUGCAAGUCGAACGAGACCUUCGGGUCUAGUGGCGCACGGGUGCGUAACGCGUGGGAAUCUGCCCUUAGGUUCGGAAUAACUCAGAGAAAUUUGAGCUAAUACCGGAUGAUGACGUAAGUCCAAAGAUUUAUCGCCUAGGGAUGAGCCCGCGUAAGAUUAGGUAGUUGGUGGGGUAAAAGCCUACCAAGCCGACGAUCUUUAGCUGGUCUGAGAGGAUGAUCAGCCACACUGGGACUGAGACACGGCCCAGACUCCUACGGGAGGCAGCAGUGGGGAAUAUUGGACAAUGGGCGAAAGCCUGAUCCAGCAAUGCCGCGUGAGUGAUGAAGGCCCUAGGGUUGUAAAGCUCUUUUACCCGGGAUGAUAAUGACAGUACCGGGAGAAUAAGCCCCGGCUAACUCCGUGCCAGCAGCCGC